This 1382-nucleotide ribosomal RNA is filed under the name uncultured bacterium. RNAcentral describes it as "bacterial SSU rRNA". It matches the Rfam family "Bacterial small subunit ribosomal RNA". The record is from RNAcentral.
GAAUUCGCCCUUAGAGUUUGAUUCUGGCUCAGGACGAACGCUGGCGGUGCGCCUAACACAUGCAAGUCGAACGAGCGAGAGAGAGCUUGCUUUCUCGAGCGAGUGGCGAACGGGUGAGUAACGCGUGAGGAACCUGCCUCAAAGAGGGGGACAACAGUUGGAAACGACUGCUAAUACCGCAUAAGCCCACGACCCGGCAUCGGGUAGAGGGAAAAGGAGCAAUCCGCUUUGAGAUGGCCUCGCGUCCGAUUAGCUAGUUGGUGAGGUAAUGGCCCACCAAGGCGACGAUCGGUAGCCGGACUGAGAGGUUGAACGGCCACAUUGGGACUGAGACACGGCCCAGACUCCUACGGGAGGCAGCAGUGGGGAAUAUUGCACAAUGGGGGAAACCCUGAUGCAGCGACGCCGCGUGGAGGAAGAAGGUCUUCGGAUUGUAAACUCCUGUUGUUGAGGAAGAUAAUGACGGUACUCAACAAGGAAGUGACGGCUAACUACGUGCCAGCAGCCGCGGUAAAACGUAGGUCACAAGCGUUGUCCGGAAUUACUGGGUGUAAAGGGAGCGCAGGCGGGAAGACAAGUUGGAAGUGAAAUCCAUGGGCUCAACCCAUGAACUGCUUUCAAAACUGUUUUUCUUGAGUAGUGCAGAGGUAGGCGGAAUUCCCGGUGUAGCGGUGGAAUGCGUAGAUAUCGGGAGGAACACCAGUGGCGAAGGCGGCCUACUGGGCACCAACUGACGCUGAGGCUCGAAAGUGUGGGUAGCAAACAGGGAUUAGAUACCCUGGUAGUCCACACUGUAAACGAUGAUUACUAGGUGUUGGAGGAUUGACCCUUUCAGUGCCGCAGUUAACACAAUAAGUAAUCCACCUGGGGAGUACGACCGCAAGGUUGAAACUCAAAGGAAUUGACGGGGGCCCGCACAAGCAGUGGAGUAUGUGGUUUAAUUCGACGCAACGCGAAGAACCUUACCAAGUCUUGACAUCCUGCGACGCACAUAGAAAUAUGUGUUUCCUUCGGGACGCAGAGACAGGUGGUGCAUGGUUGUCGUCAGCCCGUGUCGUGAGAUGUUGGGUUAAGUCCCGCAACGAGCGCAACCCUUAUGGUCAGUUACUACGCAAGAGGACUCUGGCCAGACUGCCGUUGACAAAACGGAGGAAGGCGGGGAUGACGUCAAAUCAUCAUGCCCCUUAUGACUUGGGCUACACACGUGCUACAAUGGCGUAAACAAAGGGAAGCAGCCCUGUGAAGGUGAGCAAAUCCCAAAAAUAACGUCUCAGUUCGGAUUGUAGUCUGCAACUCGACUACAUGAAGCUGGAAUCGCUAGUAAUCGCGAAUCAGAAUGUCGCGGUGAAUACGUUCCCGGGUCUUGCACACACCGCCCGUCA